CGCAGGUGUCUCGUAAGGUUGCCCUUUUGUGAGAAGCCCCGAGAGCAUGAAGGGCACUGAAAUGGCUUCUCGCCUGUGUGGGUGCGCAGGUGUUUCAUAAGGUUGCUCUUUUGUGAGAAGCUUUGAGAGCAUGAAGGGCACUGAUAUGGCCUCUCGCCUGUGUGGAUGCGCAGGUGGGCUUUCAGGUUGCCCUUUUGUGAGAAGCCCUGAGAGCAUGAAGGGCACUGAAAUGGCUUCUCACCUGUGUGGGUGUGCAGGUGGCUUUU
Dermacentor silvarum is the source of this 266-nucleotide long non-coding RNA. RefSeq lists it as uncharacterized. NCBI's taxonomy places the organism in Eukaryota, Metazoa, Arthropoda, Arachnida, Ixodida, Ixodidae. The transcript is spliced from 4 exons. The record is from RefSeq and is a predicted model, not a curated record.